UACGUAGGGGGCCAGCGUUGUCCGGAAUCAUUGGGCGUAAAGCGCGCGUAGGCGGCCAGAUAAGUCCGGUGUGAAAGUCACAGGCUCAACCUGUGAAUGCCGCUGGAAACUAUCUGGCUAGAGUCCGGAAGGGGCGAGUGGAAUUCCUGGUGUAGCGGUGAAAUGCGCAGAUAUCGGGAGGAACACCGGUGGCGAAGGCGGUUCUCUGGGCCUUACCUGACGCUGAGGAGCGAAAGCGUGGGGAGCGAACAGG
Molecule: ribosomal RNA, 253 nt
Filed under: uncultured bacterium
Lineage: Bacteria
Description: partial 16S ribosomal RNA
Rfam family: Bacterial small subunit ribosomal RNA
Source: RNAcentral